UCUCCCGUGAGGGAGCAGUCUCGCCUGAUCCGAAGAUAACAGGCAACAGGGGUUGCGUUCGUUACCCCACUGAAGGGAACAGUUCAAACCACGAACUGACGACGACCAUGCAUCACCUGUCCAGCACCCUCGAAGGCUUCCCGACUUUCAUCAGGAAUGCAGCUGGAUUUCUAACCUUGGUAAGGUUCUUCGUUUGUCGUCGAAUUGAGCCACAUAAUCCACCACUUGUGCGAGUCCCCGUCUAUUCCUUUGAGUUUUAAGCUUGCGCUCGUACUACCCAGGCGGCUCGCUUACCGCGUUAGCUUAGUCUCGCAGAGGGUCGAUACUCCGCGAAACGAGCGAGCAACGUUGAGGGCCAGGACUAC
This 365-nucleotide unclassified non-coding RNA is filed under the name uncultured bacterium. Its description in RNAcentral is "contains 16S-23S intergenic spacer region". The record is from RNAcentral.